RNAcentral lists this non-coding RNA (21 nucleotides) under Mus musculus (house mouse). Lineage: Eukaryota; Metazoa; Chordata; Mammalia; Rodentia; Muridae. RNAcentral also lists the same sequence under 1 other name. The record is from RNAcentral.
CAAGAAGUAGUUUAAUUAGAA